RNAcentral lists this ribosomal RNA (404 nucleotides) under Fusobacteriota bacterium. Its description in RNAcentral is "Fusobacteria bacterium partial 16S ribosomal RNA". It matches the Rfam family "Bacterial small subunit ribosomal RNA", at positions 355 to 776 of the family's 1533-position model. Lineage: Bacteria; Fusobacteriati; Fusobacteriota. The record is from RNAcentral.
UGGGGAAUAUUGCACAAUGGAGGGAACUCUGAUGCAGCGACGCCGCGUGAGUGAUGAAGGAAUUCGUUUCGUAAAACUCUGUUCUAUGGGAAGAAAAGGACUGUACCAUAGGAGAAAGCUCCGGCUAAAUACGUGCCAACAGCCGCGGUAAUACGUAUGGAGCGAGCGUUGUCCGGAAUUAUUGGGCGUAAAGGGUGCGCAGGCGGCUUUACAAGUUGGAUGUGAAAUAUUGUGGCUCAACCACAAACGUGCAUCCAAAACUGCAAAGCUUGAGUUAAGGAGAGGUAAGUGGAAUUCCUGGUGUAGCGGUGGAAUGCGUAGAUAUCAGGAGGAAUACCGGUGGCGAAGGCGACUUACUGGACUUAAACUGACGCUCAGGCACGAAAGCGUGGGGAGCAAACAGG